AAACUUGAGAGUUUGAUCCUGGCUCAGAACGAACGCUGGCGGCAGGCUUAACACAUGCAAGUCGAGCGCCCCGCAAGGGGAGCGGCAGACGGGUGAGUAACGCGUGGGAAUCUACCUAUCUCUACGGAACAACUCCGGGAAACUGGAGCUAAUACCGUAUACGCCCUUCGGGGGAAAGAUUUAUCGGAGAUAGAUGAGCCCGCGUUGGAUUAGCUAGUUGGUGGGGUAAUGGCCUACCAAGGCGACGAUCCAUAGCUGGUCUGAGAGGAUGAUCAGCCACACUGGGACUGAGACACGGCCCAGACUCCUGCGGGAGGCAGCAGUGGGGAAUAUUGGACAAUGGGCGCAAGUCUGAUCCAGCCAUGCCGCGUGAGUGAUGAAGGCCCUAGGGUUGUAAAGCUCUUUCAGCUGGAACGAAACGGUACGCGCUAACAUCGUGUGCUAAUGACGGUACCGGCAGAAGAAGCACCG
Molecule: ribosomal RNA, 471 nt
Filed under: Alphaproteobacteria bacterium
Lineage: Bacteria; Pseudomonadati; Pseudomonadota; Alphaproteobacteria
Description: bacterial SSU rRNA
Rfam family: Bacterial small subunit ribosomal RNA
Source: RNAcentral